UGGAUGCCUUGGCACUAGGAGCCGAAGAAGGACGGGACUAACACCGAUAUGCUUUGGGGAGCUGUACGUAAGCGUUGAUCCAGAGAUUUCCGAAUGGGGGAACCCACUAUCUUUAGUCGGAUAGUAUCCUUACGUGAAUACAUAGCGUGAGGAAGGCAGACCCAGGGAACUGAAACAUCUAAGUACCUGGAGGAAGAGAAAGAAAAAUCGAUUUCCUGAGUAGCGGCGAGCGAAACGGAAAGAGCCCAAACCAAGAAGCUUGCUUCUUGGGGUUGUAGGACACUCUAUACGGAGUUAC
This 298-nucleotide ribosomal RNA is filed under the name Listeria monocytogenes. RNAcentral describes it as "partial 23S ribosomal RNA". It matches the Rfam family "Bacterial large subunit ribosomal RNA", at positions 25 to 323 of the family's 2925-position model. Lineage: Bacteria; Bacillati; Bacillota; Bacilli; Caryophanales; Listeriaceae. The record is from RNAcentral.